AUGUUUGCAACUUUGACCCAGCUUUGCUUAUUCCUCAUAGUGUUCGACUACAGUUAUAGAGACUAUAUUCUCUCCUGGUACGGGCACCUCAGCAGAGAUGAAGGACAGCUCUACUAUCUGCUCUUGGAUGACUUUUGGGAAAUUGCCAAGCAGAUUCGCCACAGGCUGAGUCACGUGGAUGUGGUUAAAGUCGUCUGUAAUGAUAUUGUAAAGGCUUUGCUCACUCACUUCUGUGACUUGAAAGCUGCCAAUGCCAGACAUGAAGAGCAACCAAGGCCUUUUGUGUUACAUGAAUGCUUGAAGGACUCACAUGAUGAAGUAAGAUUCCUUCAGACGUGUUCCCGGGUGCUGGUGUUUUGCCUUCUCCCUUCGAAGGAUAUCCAGUCUCUCAGCUUACGUAUAAUGCUCUCAGAAAUUCUCACAACAAAAGUCUUGAAGCCAGUGGUGGAGUUACUAAGUAACCCUGAUUACAUUAACCAAAUGCUCCUUGCCCAGUUGGAGUACAGAGAGCAGAUGAAUGAGCACCACAAGAGAGCCUACACGUACGCGCCUUCUUAUGAGGAAUUCAUCAAGCUCAUCAACAGCAACUCUGAUGUGGAGUUCCUGAAGCAGCUCAGGUAUCAAAUUGUAGUGGAAAUAAUCCAAGCAACUACAAUUAGCAGCUUCCCCCAACUGAAGAGGCACAAGGGUAAGGAAUCAGCUGCCAUGAAAACAGACCUCUUGAGGGCCAGGAACAUGAAAAGGUACAUUAACCAGCUGACAGUGGCAAAGAAGCAGUGUGAGAAGAGGAUCCGCGUCCUGGGAGGCCCUGCCUACGACCAGCAAGAGGAUGGGGCCUUGGAUGAAGGAGAAGGGCCUCAGAGCCAGAAGAUUCUUCAGUUUGAAGACAUUAUGACCAAUCCUUUCUACCGAGAGCGCUUUGGAACAUACAUGGAGCGGACGGACAAGCGGACUCUGAUUGGCUUUUGGGAGGCUGUGGAACACCUGAAGAAUGCUAACAAGAAUGAAAUCCCACAAUUGGUUGGUGAAAUCUAUCAGAAUUUCUUUGUGGAAAGCAAGGAGAUCCCUGUGGAAAAGUCACUGUACAAAGAGAUCCAGCAGUGUCUGGUAGGAAACAAGGGCAUUGAGGUGUUCAGCAAACUCCAAGGAGAUGUGUACGAGGCGCUGAGGGAUAGGUAUUACCCUUCCUUCAUCGUCAGCGACCUGUACGAGAAGCUGAUGGUGAAAGAGGAAGAAAAGCAGGAUUCGCAGCUGGCUUCGGAUAAGGACGAACGGGGCUCAGGAGGCGAGACUGGUGAGGAAGCAGUAGAAGGCACCAGUGGGAUUACUGAUCAGACCAGCUUUGCUGUAAACAAACUUCGAGAGCUAAGUGAGAAGCUUGAGUAUAAAAGGCAAGCUCUGAGUUCUAUUCAAAAUGCACCAAAGCCUGAUAAGAAGAUUAUUUCCAAAUUGAAGGAUGAAAUACUGCUAAUAGAGAAAGAAUGCACAGAUCUUCAGCUGCACAUGGCAAGAACAGACUGGUGGUGUGAGAACCUGGGCCUGUGGAGAGCAUCCAUCACCAGCGCAGAGGUGACAGAAGAGAAUGGCGAGCAAAUGCCUUGUUACUACGUCAGGGUAAAUCUACAAGAAGUUGGAGGGGUUGAAACUAAGAACUGGACAGUCCCAAGAAGGCUCAGUGAGUUUCAGAAUUUACAUCGGAAACUCAGUGAGUGUGUCCCAUCUUUAAAAAAAGUCCAGUUGCCUUCUCUCAGUAAGCUGCCUUUCAAAUCUAUAGAUCACAAGUUUCUGGAAAAGUCAAAGAAUCAAUUAAAUAAGUUUUUACAGAACCUGCUUUCAGAUGAAAGACUCUUUCAGAGCGAAGCACUUUAUGCCUUUUUGAGCCCUUCUCCUGACUACCUCAAGGUUAUUGAUGUACAGGGGAAAAAACCCUCCUUUUCAUUAACUUCAUUUUUGGAAAAACUUCCUCGUGACUUCUUCUCCCAUCAGGAGGAGGAGAUAGAAGAAGACAGCGACUUGUCAGAUUACGGUGAUGAUGUGGAUGGGAAGAAGGAUGCCUUGGCUGAACCUUGUUUCAUGCUGAUCGGGGAAAUUUUUGAACUUCGAGGAAUGUUUAAAUGGGUGCGAAGAACAUUAAUUGCUCUCGUUCAGGUCACUUUUGGAAGAACCAUCAACAAACAAAUCCGGGACACAGUGAACUGGAUAUUCAGCGAGCAGAUGCUGGUUUACUACAUCAAUGCUUUCCGGGAUGCUUUUUGGCCAAAUGGGAAAUUGGCACCGCCAACUAGAAUCAGGAAUGAAGCCCAAAGCCGGGAAACAAAACAGAGAGCACAGCAAAAGCUACUCGAAAACAUUCCAGACACACUCCAGAGCCUUGUUGGACAGCAGAAUGCCCGCCAUGGUAUAAUAAAGGUAUUCAAGGCUCUGCAAGAAACGAGAGCCAACAAGCACCUGUUAUAUGUGCUGAUGGAGCUGCUGCUGACUGAGCUAUGUCCCGAGCUGAGGACUCACCUGGAUCAGUUCAAAGCUGGUCAAGUCUGAGACAGCACAUAGCAACCUCCAGAGAAAUCACUAUUUCCAAAAGCGCUUUCGGGAAAAAGGAGCUCAGUUUGGCUUACAGUUGCAGAGGGACAGAGCGCUUUAUGGUGGAGAGGCACGGCAGCAAGCGGCAGGGCCCAGCAGCAGGAGCAGGAAACUGAGGUCUCACAUCUUCACCCCAAACCAGAGUGAACGGAAGUAAGGAACUAGUUCUACAGGAAUGCCCUUGACUGUACUUAUGUGGGAAUGGAACCCGUGCCCUUCAAAGUGUUGAGAGUUCAGAAUAUUAACCAAUAUUCACAAGACCAGACUGCAAGUGGUGAAGCUACAGACUGAAACCUCUGGGGAAGCCAGGAGUAGAAAACCUGCACGCAUAUCAAAGUUAGCAUUUUAACCCUAUGGAUAGCUAGUGAACACAGCAAGGAACUGCAGUGCUCUAUCCACCAAAUUAGAAUGGCGGCGAUAAUCUGAUUCAGAAAGGUCCUAAAACUUAGCUGAGAAAAAAGAAGAUAACCUAAAUAGAAUCAUGAUCACAGCAUGUAACAUGACAGCUGGCACAAUCAAGAGCUGCUGAUUGAGUCUGAGACCACUGCUCACUGCCAGACAGGCACUCAAAUGCAGUCGGUGCAUGCACUGGGCAGUCUUGCAGAAAACCAUGUUUCUUUAAAGAGAAAGUACUUGCUUCCAUGCCCUCCCUUUCCGGUGUGGCAAGUUUACAUCAUUUUCUGAAACAAGAAGGAAAAAGUAGGAGUAAAGCUAUCAUAACAACCCGCUAGGCUGUGGAGGAUGGCCUCAAGAAUUUGCUGGAGGCAGGCACUUCGGUCAACGCACCCCCGGAUCCCCACGAGCAGUCCCCUGU
Molecule: RNA transcript, 3394 nt
Organism: Psammomys obesus (fat sand rat)
Lineage: Eukaryota; Metazoa; Chordata; Mammalia; Rodentia; Muridae
Gene: Snx25
Gene name: sorting nexin 25
Exons: 24
Source: RefSeq, a predicted model, not a curated record